UGGGCUCGAAGCGCAGUGGAAUCCGGUGGAAACAUCGGCGCCCGCAAGGGCCGCUGCGGAGGUGCUGCAUGGCUGUCGUCAGCUCGUGUCGUGAGAAUGUUGGGUUAAGUCCCGCAACGAGCGCAACCCUUAUCGUUAGUUGCCACCGGGUCAAGCCGGGCACUCUAGCGAAACCGCCUCGGAUAACGGGGAGGAAGGUGGGGAUGACGUCAAGUCCUCAUGGCCUUUAUGUCCAGGGCUACACACGUGCUACAAUGGUCGGUACAAACCGUCGCAAACCCGCGAGGGGGAGCUAAUCGGAAAAAGCCGGCCUCAGUUCGGAUUGGAGUCUGCAACUCGACUGCAUGAAGUCGGAAUCGCUAGUAAUCGCGGAUCAGCAUGUCGCGGUGAAUACGUUCCC
Molecule: ribosomal RNA, 400 nt
Filed under: uncultured bacterium
Lineage: Bacteria
Description: bacterial SSU rRNA
Rfam family: Bacterial small subunit ribosomal RNA
Source: RNAcentral